Non-coding RNA from Paramuricea clavata, 489 nucleotides. Lineage: Eukaryota; Metazoa; Cnidaria; Anthozoa; Malacalcyonacea; Plexauridae. The record is from the annotation of a GenBank genome assembly.
UUUCGCAAACUUUACCCACAGUCUACACCGUCAAGGAAGUUUGCACACGCUGGUUCCCAAUUCCUACGAUCGAGGGACUGUAUCUAUCAGUUAUAUAUUUUCUUUAUUAUAAUUGCGUUACAACAUUUCAACAAUUCUCUAAAUACAUCAAUUCAAUCUCGAUUCAAUCUCAAACUUCUCACUUCGAACUCCGAACUCACGCACUCUUACAUUUUACAACUCUAUUUAUAAUAUUAGCUAAGGUCUCUGAGCCAAAGCAUUGACGCGCGCAUUCCUGAGGUUUCCGCGCUUGGCAGCCAAAAAGCGGGGUUUGCUGCGUUGGCUUCUUACGAUAACCUAAUCUUUGUCCAUCCGUUCAUAUAAGUUUUGGCAAAAACAACUACAUAUUUUGCCCACAAACAUCCUCAUACUUUACAAUCUAAAUUAUAUUUCCUACAUACAAUUAACGCAACUUUUACAACACUCUCCCCCCUUUGAUUCGCUACGAAU